UAACGAAUAUUCCGCAAUGGGCGCAAGCCUGACGGAGCAAUGCCGCGUGCGGGAUGAAGCGGCUUCGCCGUGUAAACCGCUGUCAGGGAGCAGAAACACUGAUCGCUCCCAAAGGAAGAGACGGCUAACCCUGUGCCAGCAGCCGCGGUAAGACAGGGGUCUCAAGCGUUAAUCGGAAUUACUGGGCUUAAAGGGUGCGUAGGCGGCCUUGUAAGUGUCUUGUGAAAUCCCCCGGCUCAACCGGGGAACCGCGGGACAUACUGCGAGGCUCGAGGAAGGUAGAGGCCGGUGGAACGAUAGGUGGAGCGGUGGAAUGCGUAGAGAUCUAUCGGAACGCCAAAGGUGAAGACAGCCGGCUGGGCCUUUCCUGACGCUGAGGCACGAAAGCGUGGGGAGCAAACCGGAUUAGAUACCCCCGUAGUCC
RNAcentral lists this ribosomal RNA (424 nucleotides) under uncultured bacterium. Its description in RNAcentral is "bacterial SSU rRNA". It matches the Rfam family "Bacterial small subunit ribosomal RNA", at positions 355 to 796 of the family's 1533-position model. The record is from RNAcentral.